GGAAGCGUGGCAGAGCGGUUUAAUGUACCGGUCUUGAAAACCGGAGUCCGUUUACGCGGACCAGAGGUUCGAAUCCUCUCGCUUCCGCCA
This 90-nucleotide transfer RNA is filed under the name Candidatus Falkowbacteria bacterium CG_4_9_14_3_um_filter_38_19. RNAcentral's name for it is "tRNA-Ser". It matches the Rfam family "tRNA". From Rfam's summary of the family: Transfer RNA (tRNA) molecules are approximately 80 nucleotides in length. Their secondary structure includes four short double-helical elements and three loops (D, anti-codon, and T loops). RNAcentral also lists the same sequence under 1 other name. Lineage: Bacteria; Candidatus Falkowiibacteriota. The record is from RNAcentral.